AGUGAACGCUGGCGGUAGGCCUAACACAUGCAAGUCGAACGGCAGCACAGUAAGAGCUUGCUCUUACGGGUGGCGAGUGGCGGACGGGUGAGGAAUACAUCGGAAUCUACUUUUUCGUGGGGGAUAACGUAGGGAAACUUACGCUAAUACCGCAUACGACCUACGGGUGAAAGCAGGGGAUCUUCGGACCUUGCACGAUUGAAUGAGCCGAUGUCGGAUUAGCUAGUUGGCGGGGUAAAGGCCCACCAAGGCGACGAUCCGUAGCUGGUCUGAGAGGAUGAGCGACACGAGUGGAGGAGGGCCGUGCCGCAGCCUCGGAGGGAGGGGAGCAGGUGAGAGUAUGGGACAGUGGAGCGAAGCCUGGCAGGGCGCCACCGCGUGGGUGAAGAAGUCCUUUGGGUUGUAAAGAUGUUUUGUGGAAAAAGAACCGCAGCAUGUUAAUCCCCGGAUGUUCUGCCGGUAACAAAAGAAUAAGUACCGGCUAACUGCGCGCAAGCAGCCGCGGUAAGAAGCGGAGUAGCACCGUGCUGAGC
RNAcentral lists this ribosomal RNA (533 nucleotides) under uncultured bacterium. Its description in RNAcentral is "partial 16S ribosomal RNA". It matches the Rfam family "Bacterial small subunit ribosomal RNA", at positions 33 to 541 of the family's 1533-position model. The record is from RNAcentral.